GAUCAUGGCUCAGGACGAACGCUGGCGGCGUGCCUAAUACAUGCAAGUCGAACGAACCGCGACCUAGUGCUUGCACUUGGUCAAGGUGAGUGGCGAACGGGUGAGUAACACGUGGGUAACCUACCUCAUAGUGGGGGAUAACAGUCGGAAACGACUGCUAAUACCGCAUAGGACAUGGAAUCACAUGAUUCUGUGAGGAAAGGUGGCGCAAGCUAUCGCUAAGAGAUGGACCCGCGG
This 237-nucleotide ribosomal RNA is filed under the name uncultured bacterium. Its description in RNAcentral is "partial 16S ribosomal RNA". It matches the Rfam family "Bacterial small subunit ribosomal RNA", at positions 15 to 236 of the family's 1533-position model. The record is from RNAcentral.